UGUGUAGGCGGUUCUUUAAGUUUGGUGUGAAAUCUCCCGGCUUAACCGGGAGGGUGCGCCGAAUACUGAGGGACUAGAGUACGGGAGAGGAAAGUGGAAUUCCUGGUGUAGCGGUGAAAUGCGUAGAUAUCAGGAGGAACACCGGUGGUGUAGACGGCUUUCUGGACCGUAACUGACGCUGAGACACGAAAGCGUGGGUAGCAAACAGGAUUAGAUACCCUGGUAGUCCACGCCCUAAACGAUGCAUAUUUGGUGUGGGCAGUUCAUUCUGUCCGUGCCGGAGCUAACGCGUUAAAUAUGCCGCCUGGGGAGUACAGUCGCGAAGGCUGAA
This 331-nucleotide ribosomal RNA is filed under the name uncultured bacterium. RNAcentral describes it as "bacterial SSU rRNA". It matches the Rfam family "Bacterial small subunit ribosomal RNA", at positions 568 to 898 of the family's 1533-position model. The record is from RNAcentral.